UAUCAGCAGAGAGUGAACGGGUUGUAGUGUAGCUUUGUCCCUCUGCUGCCUGUGGACUGAUCUCUAUGUGUCUCUAUGUAGGAUGAGGGUCAAAGGUUGUGACCUUUAUGCUCCCGAGUGCCAACAGUGGGCAACACAGAGUCCAACACAGAGUCCACAACACAGAGUCCAACACAGAGUCCACAACACAGAGUCCAACACAGAGUCCAACACAGAGUCCAACACAGAGUCCACAACACAGAGUCCACAACACAGAUCCCAACACAGAGUCCAACACAGAGUCCAACACAGAGUCCAACACAGAGUCCACAACAUAGAGUCCACAACACAGAGUCCACAACACAGAGUCCAACACAGAGUCCACAACACAGAGUCCACAACACAGAGUCCACAACACAGAGUCUACAACACAGAUCCCAACACAGAGUCCAACACAGAGUCCAACACAGAGUCCACAACACA
Dicentrarchus labrax (European seabass) is the source of this 462-nucleotide long non-coding RNA. RefSeq lists it as uncharacterized. Lineage: Eukaryota; Metazoa; Chordata; Actinopteri; Moronidae. The record is from RefSeq and is a predicted model, not a curated record. The transcript has 3 exons.